AUGUGUGCUAGUGCAGCUGGCUGAGCAAAGAUUUUAAAAUCAGGGGCAGCACUCACUCUGGCACAUGUAUAUUAAUACUGGAAAGAUAUAAAGAUUAGCAUGGCCUCUGCAUAAGGAUGACAUACAAAUUCAUGAAGUGUUCCAUAUCUUA
Molecule: small nuclear RNA, 151 nt
Filed under: Chinchilla lanigera (long-tailed chinchilla)
Lineage: Eukaryota; Metazoa; Chordata; Mammalia; Rodentia; Chinchillidae
Source: RNAcentral